RNAcentral lists this ribosomal RNA (218 nucleotides) under Desulforamulus aquiferis. RNAcentral's name for it is "partial 23S ribosomal RNA". It matches the Rfam family "Bacterial large subunit ribosomal RNA", at positions 1 to 218 of the family's 2925-position model. The record is from RNAcentral. Lineage: Bacteria; Bacillati; Bacillota; Clostridia; Eubacteriales; Peptococcaceae.
GGUCAAGAAGAAAAGGGCACAUGGUGGAUGCCUUGGCGCUAAGAGCCGAAGAAGGGCGUGGAAAGCUGCGAAAAGCCACGAGGAGCCGCAAGCAGGCGUUAAUCCGUGGAUACCCGAAUGGGGCAACCCGGCGGAGCAAAACUCCGUCACCCUAUGCUGAACACAUAGGCAUAGAGGAGGGCACCCGGGGAACUGAAACAUCUAAGUACCCGGAGGAA